AAAUCGAUUCGAGAAAUAGAACGCUUAGAAAUGACGCCCUAAACUACGUUUUACCCUGUUUGAAAUUGCAACACUAAAAGUCUUUUCAUCCAUUUUCAAUGUAACCCAAUUAUUGUAUAACGCGACGCGGGUAAAGAUGAAAAAAAAAAUGGUCAAAGAAAUAAAAACUUUGCAGGACAAUCGAAGGAAGUGCGAGAUUUAAGGAUCAUAAUUGUUUUUAAAAAUGAGUUUAACAAAUAGAACGCGAUCGAUUAUUCCGCAACCCUUCAACUGGAAAUCUAAAAAAGACGUAUCAGAUGCACAGAGCUCCAAGCUGUCGGUGAAUGUGCUGCCGCUCACUUCUGCCGCUGCUGCCACAAACUGUACGUUAGCUAGUAUUGAUAAAAUUGCUGAAUAAAAUUCGACUUGAAAUUAAUCGAUCCUUGUAACCCCAGCGAUACCUCGGAGGCGAGAGGGGAGAGAGGGAAGGGCAAAAUCGAAACGAGUUAUUAUUUGAAUUUUGAAGACCGGAUUUUCGACGUUACCAGAUGGAGUUCGAUCACCCUUGAAAUUGUGAAAAGUAGAGUUAUUUCAAUUUAUUGCCGACUUUUUGUACCUCAGUCGGUGUGGAGAAGAUUUUGAACUGAUUUGUUCUUGGUUUUAUGAACAGGCGGAAUGUUAUCCGGCAAUUGUUUUCGAGAAAUCGAGAUAGGACCGUUACGACUGACAGAACGUCGUGAGACUUAACUCGAAACUCAACCAAGCGCUUGCGCAAAUUUUUAGUCAAUAACUUGGACCGCCCCCGCGAUUAUGGAAUUGCACGCUGUAAAAUUCACGAUACAAAUUAGAGACGUAUACGUAUGUGCGGCUAGAUUAUUCUGAAUAUUUUUUUUGAAAUUACCCUAGUUUCUAGACCUGAUCUGUGAAAAAUCACUCCUCUUGAAAAAUUCACAUUCGCAGAAAAUCGUGAUCAGUUUUCAACGCUUUCAGGUAGACGAAAGUUUCAUCAGAUUCGUCUGAUUUUAAGUGACUCAUCGGAGUUUUAAUCGUCAUUUUUAAACAAUCGCUGAACAGCAUGUAGAAUUUUCAAGCCUUAUGAACAGCAGAUGUUGUAGCAGCUUUAAAUUGACAAAGAAGUCUCAUAUAUGCAUUUCCGGUAUCAGUGAUGAAUAGCAGUUAGUGGUUCUGCAGCAACGAAUUCAGACUUACAACAGAGGAUAUUUAGUUCAUCUUUCAGAAGAGAGUAUGGUAAAUUUACUGUUUGAAAAGCUACUAAGAAUUUGGUACCAAUUCACUAACGAGAUGACAAGACGGAUAGCACUACAUAUUCCAAACAAUAGCCUCACAGGUGACUGAUGACAGGAUUUCUAUCUGAGCAGCCUUCAGUGAUGCAAUACCGAUUGCCUCCUUUUAUCCCCAACUCUUCUAUAAAAUAAAGGUACUCGUAGAUACCAAAUGUUUACUGGUGGUCAGAGGAUUAUGAGGUCUCUGGAGUAAUUACUGCGUACCAAUAUUAUUUCACAGUUGGCCACAUAGAUUCGUAUGUGUAGAAUUCAUAGUGUCAAUGCACAAUAAUGUGAUCGUGUGUAAACAGUGUUGUACAUUAGUAACACAAUUUCAUUUGUAACGUUGAUAGUCAUUUUAGAGAUCUGAUUUCAGAUUGAACUUCUGUGCAUCUGAUGCUAUUUUCAACUACACCAUGAAAUAAUUUGAUACUAAUUGUAACUCAUUGGUUGGAUGUUGAAGUUGAUGAUGAUAUAUUUAUCUCCUCAAAGAAGAGAAAGAACCAUGGAGUUCAGCUAUAGCAAGUAAUCGGCUGAAGAACAGUUCCGGUGUACAACUCUUCACAGCUUUGAACAUUAUGUUUCUCAGGGCGUCCUACCUUUUUUGUGACUCACAUGAAAAAUGAAUAUAAUCGCGUAUCGUCCACAAAUAAUUUAUAUUACUUCAUUUUUCGUAUUUUACAAACUAGCUUGGGAACAAUUAUCUCUUCGUGAUCCUGGUUGUAACUCUUGAGUUUGUACAACACUGUAUGAAUAUAAAUUAGGAAAAAUUUGUAUAUCCGUAGAAAUUUAUACAAGGAAUCGUGUAAUGUAUUUGUUUCAAUGCAUGAUGAUUUCUGGAAUUAUCAACUCAUGCGUUUUAGUAUACCUACUUGAUCCAUUCAAAUAUACAAAUCAUGCAUAUGUAUAUAUUUAAAAUUCUGCUGGCCAAAAAAUAAAUUAAAUGAUUGACAAUA
RNA transcript from Athalia rosae (coleseed sawfly), 2218 nucleotides. RefSeq lists it as uncharacterized. Lineage: Eukaryota; Metazoa; Arthropoda; Insecta; Hymenoptera; Athaliidae. The transcript is spliced from 4 exons. The record is from RefSeq and is a predicted model, not a curated record.